This 379-nucleotide ribosomal RNA is filed under the name Callerebia suroia. RNAcentral describes it as "partial 12S ribosomal RNA". Lineage: Eukaryota; Metazoa; Arthropoda; Insecta; Lepidoptera; Nymphalidae. The record is from RNAcentral.
GUGUAAACUAGGAUUAGAUACCCUAUUAUUUUAAAUUUAAUUAAUAAUACUAAAAUAGUAGAUAAUAAAUAUUGAAACUUAAAUAAUAUGGCGGUAUUUUAGUUCAUUUAGAGGAAUCUGUCUUAUAAUUGAUAAUCCACGAAUAAAUUUACUUAAUUUAAUAUCUUAUAUAUCGUUGUUAGAAAAAUAUUUUAAAAUAAAAAUAAUAUUUAAAAAUUUUAAAAAAAAAAUUAAUUCAGAUCAAGAUGUAGAAUAUAAUUAAGAAAAUGAUGGAUUACAAUAAAAUAAUUUAAUACGAAUAAUUUUAUUAUAAUAUAAAAAUUGAAGCGUGCGAUUUAAAUGUAAUUUUAAUUAAUUUAUAUAAUGAUUGCGUUCUGAG